RNAcentral lists this long non-coding RNA (429 nucleotides) under Scleropages formosus (Asian bonytongue). RNAcentral's name for it is "lncRNA (ENSSFOG00015027190.1)". The record is from RNAcentral. Lineage: Eukaryota; Metazoa; Chordata; Actinopteri; Osteoglossiformes; Osteoglossidae.
GCCGCCAUGUUUGGGACGCGCCACGUGCGAGUGAGGGAGUCGUGCAGGGACCGAGGCCGGGCGGACAGGGGACGAGGAUGGCCACCCCGACCCCCGAGCGCGCCGCCAUUGGGGUGUCUUGCAAGUUUCCCGCCCCAUCCACCAGCGGUGAGCGUCUGGGACCUGCACUCCCGACCAGAUGAGGUCUGCAGCAGACAGAGGAACCAGAACAUUCCCCAAGUUCACAGGACAAAGCAGAUUACAGAGGAGCAGACCUACCUUUCUGAGGAGGAGCUCUGGAAGUUCAACAGCUCAGCCUGACAGAUGGCGAAAGCUAUGACAGCCGCUACAGGUGAAUGCCAGUUCAGGUCACACCCAGGUCACACUGGUGAUUAUCCUCAAGAGGUAAAACACUCCAUUGUCUAUGGGAACACAAUUUCCAUAUUCCCC